UACGGAGGGUGCAAGCGUUAUCCGGAUUUACUGGGUUUAAAGGGUGUGUAGGCGGACAUGUAAGUCAGUGGUGAAAUCUCCGGGCUCAACCCGGAAACUGCCUUUGAUACUAUAUGUCUUGAAUAUCGUUGAGGUAGGCGGAAUAUGUCAUGUAGCGGUGAAAUGCAUAGAUAUGACAUAGAACACCGAUUGCGAAGGCAGCUUACUAAACGAUCAUUGACGCUGAGGCACGAAAGCGUGGGUAGCGAACAGG
This 253-nucleotide non-coding RNA is filed under the name uncultured bacterium. RNAcentral's name for it is "partial 16S ribosomal RNA". It matches the Rfam family "Bacterial small subunit ribosomal RNA", at positions 524 to 776 of the family's 1533-position model. The record is from RNAcentral. RNAcentral also lists the same sequence under 1 other name.